Schistosoma mattheei is the source of this 45-nucleotide non-coding RNA. The record is from Rfam. Lineage: Eukaryota; Metazoa; Platyhelminthes; Trematoda; Strigeidida; Schistosomatidae.
AUCCAGCUGACGAGUCCCAAAUAAGACAUAACGCGCUUCCUGAAU